RNAcentral lists this transfer RNA (68 nucleotides) under Alpheus inopinatus. RNAcentral's name for it is "tRNA-Asp". The record is from RNAcentral. Lineage: Eukaryota; Metazoa; Arthropoda; Malacostraca; Decapoda; Alpheidae.
UUAAAAUUAGUUAAUAACCAUAACACAGCCUUGUCAAGGCUGAAUAAUCACCCACGUGAUAUUUUAAA